GGAAGUGGAAGAAAGGGGGCGAUUCCUCUCGAGGGCUUGAGGUACCAGCCAGGGGCGGGGCUUCUGGACCUCCGGGGAGCGGGAAACAUGGGGGGCGGAGCCUCCAGACUCGCGCGGGGCCGUGCGGGCUGAGGGAUGGGGCCUGUGGGUCCCACGAGGCAGGUAGCUGUCCCGGAGGAUUUAAUCUCGUGUGGAGCACAUCCCCGAAGGCGUUGGGGACGGGAGAGGGAAAAGACCAGAGAUCCUUCCCAGACCCGGGGCGCUUGUAAACAGCAGCACGUGGGCCCAGCUUUGGGGGACGCGUCCACGCCCCCCUGACAGCGACGGCACCCCGUGGGGCGGCGAGACAGCGGCUAGACAGGGUGACCCAACUGCAUUCCUGGCCGGUGUGUCAGCGCCGCCUCCCGCCCGCUCUGCCGCGCUUUCGGAUCCUACUCCCGCAUUGGGGUGCCCUUCUUUUCAGGGAGCGAGCGGCUUCCCAGAGCGGAGGAAGGGUCAGCGGACGCGUCCUCUCCUCCGGGGGUCCCCAAACAGUUCCCGUGCGGGGGGUGAGAUACCGGGGCGUGGCCCCCGCGGGCUCCGGGACUACAAUUCCCAGAGGACCCCGGGCGGGGGAGCGCCCAACUCGGCUGUGGACGCCGCCAGAGACCGCAGUCCCAGCCUGGGCGCCGUGGCCGGGACAUCGUACAAGAUCCAAUCCGCCCUUUUUACUGACAGGGAGACUGAGGCUCAGAAACUCGAGGGGGACCCUGCUUCCUCCAGCCGAAGUCACGUUGUCCAACCUGUUCCCGGAGUCUGCCCCGCCCCGUCCUCCGCGCCCCGCCGCCGGAGCCGAAGCCGGAGGAAGACCCCUGGUGCCAGGAUCGGCCCCUGAUCCGCGCCCCGCCCCGGCCGGCACCAUGGACAGCGAGGCAUUCCAGAGCUCGGGGGACCUUCUGGACCUGAGCUUCCAGU
This is a long non-coding RNA of Myotis davidii, 954 nucleotides long. RefSeq lists it as uncharacterized. The transcript is spliced from 3 exons. The record is from RefSeq and is a predicted model, not a curated record. Lineage: Eukaryota; Metazoa; Chordata; Mammalia; Chiroptera; Vespertilionidae.